ACACAUACAUAUAUACAUAUACAUAGGAGAUAGGGGUACGUAACGCCGCAAUAAUAUAUGUAUAGAAAUUAAAUAUAAAAUAUAAAUUACAAAGUGGGACAAGAACGCAAAAACACACAAGGAGACGACACAAAAAAACAGACGGGUCACUCGA
Long non-coding RNA from Octopus sinensis (East Asian common octopus), 154 nucleotides. RefSeq lists it as uncharacterized. The record is from RefSeq and is a predicted model, not a curated record. NCBI's taxonomy places the organism in Eukaryota, Metazoa, Mollusca, Cephalopoda, Octopoda, Octopodidae. The transcript has 3 exons.